Molecule: ribosomal RNA, 498 nt
Filed under: uncultured bacterium
Lineage: Bacteria
Description: partial 16S ribosomal RNA
Rfam family: Bacterial small subunit ribosomal RNA
Source: RNAcentral
AUUGAACGCUGGCGGCAUGCCUUACACAUGCAAGUCGAACGGUAACAGGUCUUCGGAUGCUGACAAGUGGCGAACGGGUGAGUAAUACAUCGGAACGUGCCUAGUAGUGGGGGAUAACUACUCGAAAGAGUGGCUAAUACCGCAUGAGAUCUACGGAUGAAAGCAGGGGAUCGCAAGACCUUGUGCUACUAGAGCGGCCGAUGGCAGAUUAGGUAGUUGGUGGGAUAAAAGCUUACCAAGCCGACGAUCUGUAGCUGGUCUGAGAGGACGAGCAGCCACACUGGGACUGAGACACGGCCCAGACUCCUACGGGAGGCAGCAGUGGGGAAUUUUGGACAAUGGGCGCAAGCCUGAUCCAGCAAUGCCGCGUGCAGGAUGAAGGCCUUCGGGUUGUAAACUGCUUUUGUACGGAACGAAAAGCCCCGGGUUAAUACCCUGGGGUCAUGACGGUACCGUAAGAAUAAGCACCGGCUAACUACGUGCCAGCCGCCGCCGUAA